This 380-nucleotide ribosomal RNA is filed under the name Escherichia coli. Its description in RNAcentral is "bacterial SSU rRNA". It matches the Rfam family "Bacterial small subunit ribosomal RNA", at positions 1153 to 1532 of the family's 1533-position model. Lineage: Bacteria; Pseudomonadati; Pseudomonadota; Gammaproteobacteria; Enterobacterales; Enterobacteriaceae. RNAcentral also lists the same sequence under 21 other names. The record is from RNAcentral.
CAGUGAUAAACUGGAGGAAGGUGGGGAUGACGUCAAGUCAUCAUGGCCCUUACGACCAGGGCUACACACGUGCUACAAUGGCGCAUACAAAGAGAAGCGACCUCGCGAGAGCAAGCGGACCUCAUAAAGUGCGUCGUAGUCCGGAUUGGAGUCUGCAACUCGACUCCAUGAAGUCGGAAUCGCUAGUAAUCGUGGAUCAGAAUGCCACGGUGAAUACGUUCCCGGGCCUUGUACACACCGCCCGUCACACCAUGGGAGUGGGUUGCAAAAGAAGUAGGUAGCUUAACCUUCGGGAGGGCGCUUACCACUUUGUGAUUCAUGACUGGGGUGAAGUCGUAACAAGGUAACCGUAGGGGAACCUGCGGUUGGAUCACCUCCUU